Molecule: long non-coding RNA, 1938 nt
Organism: Taeniopygia guttata (zebra finch)
Lineage: Eukaryota; Metazoa; Chordata; Aves; Passeriformes; Estrildidae
Source: Ensembl
GUCUGGGGGGGCUCUUUGGGGUCUGGGGGGGCUCUUUGGGGUCUGGGGGCGCUCUGACCCCCCCUCUGCCCCAGCCCGGCCCCGCCCCCCCCGGCCCCCCCCCGUGUCCCUGUACCUGUUCCCAGGGGAGGGGGGCGGCUCCGCCCGAGCCCCCCCCGAGCCCCCCCAGGGGGGCGGCACCGACCCCGACCCCGACCCCGACCCGGAGGGGUUCUGCGUCCUCGAGGCCCCUGAGACCCCUGAGAUGGUGAGUGGGGGUCCUGGGGGGGUCCUGGGGGGGUCGUGGGGGGGUCCUGGGGGGCUUUUUGAGGGUCCUGGGGGGUCUCUGAAGGGUCCUGGGGGGGUCCCGGGUGACUUUGGGGUGGGUGUGGGUGACCCCUGGGUGUCCCCAGGUGGCACUGGGGGUGUCUGUGGGUGACAUUUUGGGGUCCCAGGUGAGGUUCAGGUGACAUUUUGGGGUCCCAGGUGAGGUUUGGGUGACAUUUUGGGGUCCCAGGUGAUGUUCAGGUGUCUGUGGGUGACAUUUUGGGUUCCCAGGUGAGGUUCGGGUGUCUGUGGGUGACAUUUUGGGGUCCCAGGUGACACUGGGGUGACAUUUGGGGUGCCCUUUGCCCCCAGGCCGCCCCCCGGCUGCGCUGGCUGGCCCCGGGGCCGCUGCGGCUCCUGCCCGGCCAUUUCGGGGCCCCCCGGGGGGAGCGGGACCGGCUGCGCCCCCCCCCGGGGCUGCCCCCGCCCCGCUCCCGCCUCGUCCUGCGCGACCUCAGCCUCACCUGGGCCCUCUGCGGGGGGCGCGACUUCGGCCCCGCCCCGGCCAGGUGGGACACACCUGGGGGACACACCUGGGGGACACACCUGGGGGGACACACCUGGGGGGACACACCUGGGGGGACACACCUGGGGGGGGGACACACCUGGGGGAGGACACACCUGGGGGGGGACACGCCCAUGGGUGGGGCUAAGGGACACCUGGGGGGACACGCCCAUGGGUGUGUGCGGUGGGCGUGGCCAGCACAGACAGUGGGCGUGGCCGCACUGACCCCGCCCCCGCAGGCCCCGCCCCCGCAGCUCAGGCCCCGCCCCCCCGCGGUGGCGCUGCCGGGGGGGCCCCGGGAGGGUCCCGGAUCAGCUGAUGGAGCUGCACCUGGGCAAGCGCCCCCUCCCCAGGUGUGUCUGCAGCACGAGACGUACGCGGCCCCGCCCGGGCCCGGGGGGCUCUCGGGGGUCCCGGGGGAGGCGCCCACCUCCCGCCUGGUGCUGCUGGUGCCCGACCUGGAGCUGCGCGACCGCCUCAGCGCCGCCGCCGCGCCCCCGUUCCUCGGCCGCCACCCCCGCGCCGCGCCCGGCCCACGGACCCCCACGGUACGGGGGGACCCCGGGGUGGGACCCCCAAAUCUGGGACCCCCAAAUGUCAGCCCAAACCUGGGACCCCCUCAGAUCUGAGACCCCCAAACGUGACCCCAAAUGUGGGACCCUGGGAUGGGGCCCCUGGGACCCCCAAAUAUCACCCCAAAUCUGGGACCCUCUCAGAUCUGAGACCCCCAAAUCUGGGAGCCUGAGUGUGGGACCCCCAAAUGUCAGCCCAAACCUGGGACCCCUGGGAUGGGACCCCCAAAUCUGAGACCCCCAAAUAUCACCCCAAAUCUGGGACCCUCUCAGAUCUGAGACCCCCAAACGUGACCCCAAAUCCGGGACCCCCAAAUGUGACCCCAAAUGUGGGACCCCGGGAUGGGACCCCCAAAUGUCACCCCAAACCUUGGACCCCCUCAGAUCUGAGACCCCCCAAACCUGACAUCCCCAAAUCUGGGACUCCCCAAAUAUCACCCCAAAUUAUGGACCCCCCAGAUCUGAGACCCCCAAAUGUGGGACCCCGGGCUGGGACCCCAAAUCUGAGACCCCAAAUUUUCCCCCCAACCCAAACCACCCCAAAACCGACCCCCC